Long non-coding RNA from Pecten maximus, 2284 nucleotides. RefSeq lists it as uncharacterized. The transcript has 2 exons. Lineage: Eukaryota; Metazoa; Mollusca; Bivalvia; Pectinida; Pectinidae. The record is from RefSeq and is a predicted model, not a curated record.
GAUACAAGAUUAACACAGUAUUGACUGUCAAGGUGUUCUGACUGUGUGUUAGUCUACCCAGAUACAAGAUUAACACAGUAUUGACUGUCAAGGUGUUCUGACUGUGUGUUAGUCUACCCAGAUAAAAGGUUAACACAACAUUGACUGUCAUGGUGUUCUGACUGUGUGUUAGUCUACCCAGAUACAAGGUUAACACAGUAUUGACUGUCAAGGUGUUCUGACUGUGUGUUAGUCUACCCAGAUAAAAGGUUAAUACAACAUUGACUGUCAAGGUGUUCUGACUGUGUGUUAGUCUACCCAGAUACAAGGGAAACACAACAUUGACUGUCAUGGUGUUCUGACUGUGUGUUAGUCUACCAAGAUACAAGGUUAACACAGUAUUGACUGUCAAGGUGUUCUGACUGUGUGUUAGUCUACCCAGAUACAAGGUUAACACAACAUUGACUGUCAAGGUGUUCUGACUGUGUGUUAGUCUACCAAGAUACAAGGUUAACACAGUAUUGACUGUCAAGGUGUUCUGACUGUGUGUUAGUCUACCCAGAUACAAGAUUAACACAGUAUUGACUGUCAAGGUGUUCUGACUGUGUGUUAGUCUACCCAGAUACAAGAUUAACACAGUAUUGACUGUCAAGGUGUUCUGACUGUGUGUUAGUCUACCCAGAUACAAGAUUAACACAGUAUUGACUGUCAAGGUGUUCUGACUGUGUGUAAGUCUACCCAGAUACAAGAUUAACACAGUAUUGACUGUCAAGGUGUUCUUACUGUGUGUAAGUCUAACCAGAUACAAGGUUAACACAGUAUUGACUGUCAAGGUGUUCUGACUGUGUGUUAGUCUACCCAGAUACAAGGUUAACACACUAUUGACUGUCAAGGUGUUCUGACUGUGUAUUAGUCUACCCAGAUACAAGGUUAACACAGCAUUGACUGUCAAGGUGUUCUGACUGUGUGUUAGUCUACCCAGAUACAAGGUUAACAUAGUAUUGACUGUCAAUGUGUUCUGACUGUGUGUUAGUCUACCAAGAUACAAGAUUAACACAGCAUUGACUGUCAAGGUGCUCUGACUGUGUGUUAGUCUACCCAGAUACAAGAUUAACACAGUAUUGACUGUCAAGGUGUUCUGACUGUGUGUAAGUCUACCCAGAUACAAGGUUAACACAGUAUUGACUGUCAAGGUGUUCUGACUGUGUGUUAGUCUACCCAGAUACAAGAUUAACACAGUAUUGACUGUCAAGGUGUUCUGACUGUGUGUUAGUCUACCCAGAUACAAAGUUAACACGGUAUUGACUGUCAAGGUGUUCUGACUGUGUGUUAGUCUACCCAGAUACAAGAUUAACACAGUAUUGACUGUCAAGGUGUUCUGACUGUGUGUUAGUCCACCCAGAUACAAGGGAAACACAGUAUUGACUGUCAAUGUGUUCUAACUGUAUGCUAGUCUAACAAGAUACAAUGGUAAUAGUAUGCCAAAGUAUUCUGAGUGCAAGCAAGAUAGUUUACAUUGGAAUCUUCAUUAGAGUAAAAGAAAAACAGUUUAAAAACAUUCCAUUAUGGUAUAAUCCAUGUAUGUUUACCCUAGUGGAGAGAAAAUCACCAUUUUGUGCCUUCAAUGAGUGAAAUAGCCAUAGAUACUUUGGAACAAUUUUUAUUCACAUGUUGAUUUUGCCCAUUAUGAUUGUUGGACAUCAUCAGUAUUAACUUCAAUAUGAAGACUGUAAAAUAAUGUUUAAUUUCUUACAAUUACCGCUGAAUGGCUCAAAUAAGAUGUGGAAUUUUUAGCUUUAAGCAAAUUAAGAAAAAAAAGGAAUUAUAGCAUCAUCACAAAAGUAACAUUAUGAUUGUCAGGAUUGAAACUGUAGAUUCUGUAGUAUUGUGUGUAACUUUCUGUAGAACUGACCUUCAGUGCAAUAUCUGUAUGUACAUUAAUUUAAUUGAAUCGGGUUAUAUUAUAUAGAAUUUGACACGGCAAAUGGAUUGGAAGUAUGUGUGAGUAUCUGUAUUGUAAGAGAAUUAAUUUGUUGAUAAAGAGGAGUUAGUACAGUAUCAUAUAUAAUGAUUUUUCAUGUUAUAUAUAUAUUGAUAUUGAGGCUAUAUAUUUAAAUAUUAAACAAAAACCUCACUAAAUCUCUAGCUAUAAAUCUGACUGUACAAAUCCAAAACAAUCACAGUUUGUUGUGGGAUACCAUAUAGCAAUAUCAUUCAUUUAAUGCAUUCUUGUAUUUUAUCUGUAUUAAAGGUUUAUUUUCCAAUGAACUUUAAAAAGUUCUGUAGAAAUAAACAUUCAGUAACA